UAGCCAUGGGCAGGUUGAAGGUUGGGUAACACUAACUGGAGGACCGAACCGACUAAUGUUGAAAAAUUAGCGGAUGACCUGUGGCUGGGGGUGAAAGGCCAAUCAAACCGGGAGAUAGCUGGUUCUCCCCGAAAGCUAUUUAGGUAGCGCCUCGUGAAUUCAUCUCCGGGGGUAGAGCACUGUUUCGGCUAGGGGGCCAUCCCGGCUUACCAACCCGAUGCAAACUGCGAAUACCGGAGAAUGUUAUCACGGGAGACACACGGCGGGUGCUAACGUCCGUCGUGAAGAGGGAAACAACCCAGACCGCCAGCUAAGGUCCCAAAGUCAUGGUUAAGUGGGAAACGAUGUGGGAAGGCCCAGACAGCCAGGAUGUUGGCUUAGAAGCAGCCAUCAUUUAAAGAAAGCGUAAUAGCUCACUGGUCGAGUCGGCCUGCGCGGAAGAUGUAACGGGGCUAAACCAUGCACCGAAGCUGCGGCAGCGACACUGUGUGUUGUUGGGUA
This 501-nucleotide ribosomal RNA is filed under the name Salmonella enterica subsp. enterica serovar Enteritidis. RNAcentral describes it as "partial 23S ribosomal RNA". It matches the Rfam family "Bacterial large subunit ribosomal RNA", at positions 731 to 1230 of the family's 2925-position model. Lineage: Bacteria; Pseudomonadati; Pseudomonadota; Gammaproteobacteria; Enterobacterales; Enterobacteriaceae. The record is from RNAcentral.